AUUGAACGCUGGCGGAAUGCUUUACACAUGCAAGUCGAACGGUAGAGGGGGCAACCCCUCGAGAGUGGCGAACGGGUGAGUAAUAUAUCGGAACGUGCCCAGUCGUGGGGGAUAACGUAGCGAAAGUUACGCUAAUACCGCAUACGAUCUAAGGAUGAAAGCGGGGGAUCGCAAGACCUCGCGCGAUUGGAGCGGCCGAUAUCAGAUUAGGUAGUUGGUGGGGUAAAGGCUCACCAAGCCAACGAUCUGUAGCUGGUCUGAGAGGACGACCAGCCACACUGGAACUGAGACACGGUCCAGACGCCUACGGGAGGCAGCAGUGGGGAAUUUUGGACAAUGGACGCAAGUCUGAUCCAGCCAUUCCGCGUGCAGGAUGAAGGCCCUCGGGUUGUAAACUGCUUUUGUACGGAACGAAAAGGUCUCUCUUAAUACGAGGGGCUCAUGACGGUACCGUAAGAAUAAGCACCGGCUAACUACGUGCCAGCAGCCGCCGUAA
RNAcentral lists this ribosomal RNA (496 nucleotides) under uncultured bacterium. Its description in RNAcentral is "partial 16S ribosomal RNA". It matches the Rfam family "Bacterial small subunit ribosomal RNA", at positions 30 to 523 of the family's 1533-position model. The record is from RNAcentral.